Caretta caretta (loggerhead turtle) is the source of this 388-nucleotide long non-coding RNA. RefSeq lists it as uncharacterized. NCBI's taxonomy places the organism in Eukaryota, Metazoa, Chordata, Testudines, Cheloniidae. The record is from RefSeq and is a predicted model, not a curated record.
GGCUGCGAGGGACGAACUGGAGGCUGCUGCACAAGUUAGUGGUGUUUAGGCCAACGCCCCCGGGAGGGAAAGGUGGAAAUGAUGGCCUGACCCUUCGCGGCUCAUUGAUUUGCAGCCAACGCAACAAGCAGCCGUGGCCUCUGGGAGCAGAUCUCGGCCUGAGAGCUGGGUCAGCAGCGCUACGAGACACACGCGGCAAGGGACUUCACCUUGAACCAGGCCGAGUUUGCUCAGUUUCAGAAGCGGUUUAUCUUUGUUUUUCUUGUGACUAUUUCUGACCUGCACUCACUUCAAGUCUCUCUCUGUGACGUACCGCUCAUUGGGCUUUAUGGAAAUGAGCGUCCCGUCCUUAGCCACGUACUCAAACUCGUACUCCACUAGGACGCAC